UGGGGAAUUUUGGACAAUGGGCGAAAGCCUGAUCCAGCAAUGCCGCGUGUGUGAAGAAGGCCUUCGGGUUGUAAAGCACUUUUGUCCGGAAAGAAAUCCUUGGCUCUAAUACAGUCGGGGGAUGACGGUACCGGAAGAAUAAGCACCGGCUAACUACGUGCCAGCAGCCGCGGUAAUACGUAGGGUGCAAGCGUUAAUCGGAAUUACUGGGCGUAAAGCGUGCGCAGGCGGUUUGCUAAGACCGAUGUGAAAUCCCCGGGCUCAACCUGGGAACUGCAUUGGUGACUGACAGGCUAGAGUAUGGCAGAGGGGGGUUAGAAUUCCACGUGUAGCAGUGAAAUGCGUAGAGAUGUGGAGGAAUACCGAUGGCGAAGGCAGCCCCCUGGGCCAAUACUGACGCUCAUGCACGAAAGCGUGGGGAGCAAACAGGAUUAGAUACCCUGGUAGUCCACGCCCUAAACGAUGUCAACUAGUUGUUGGGGAUUCAUUUCCUUAGUAACGUAGCUAACGCGUGAAGUUGACCGCCUGGGGAGUACGGUCGCAAGAUUAAAACUCAAUGAAUUGACGGGGUCAUAGCUGUUUCCU
This 585-nucleotide ribosomal RNA is filed under the name uncultured bacterium. RNAcentral's name for it is "partial 16S ribosomal RNA". It matches the Rfam family "Bacterial small subunit ribosomal RNA", at positions 355 to 1375 of the family's 1533-position model. The record is from RNAcentral.